Durio zibethinus is the source of this 2823-nucleotide non-coding RNA. NCBI's taxonomy places the organism in Eukaryota, Viridiplantae, Streptophyta, Magnoliopsida, Malvales, Malvaceae. The record is from RefSeq and is a predicted model, not a curated record.
UGUAAUUAGUAAAGAAAAAUAAGAUAAUCGAAAAAAAAUGAAAAAAGAAAAGCAAAGUGGGGAGAUGUGAUAGGCGAAUGCAGAAGAAUGAUAAGCUCGCUUGCAACCCAAGCGCCACUUCCUCUCGCUUAUUAUAGGAACUCUCCUUCCAUUUACAAAACCAAACCCUCCACCUAUUUUCCCCGCUUCUUCUCGGUCAAAACUUUGUCAUUCCCUCUCUUUUUGAAUCCUUCUACGAACACUUCAACAAGUAAAGCUAAGAUUGUUUUUAAUUUACAGGGUUUUUUGGGUCCAAUUUCGAGCCCUGCAAUCCGACCUCUUUGUUCGAAAUCCGGUGAAGUGGGAGGAAUGGCGUCGUCGCUGCAAAAUCAGGAUUCUAUUUCGUACCUGACACAGCGAGAAGCUGCUGAAAUUGAUGAGACUCUCAUGGGUCCUCUCGGCUUUAGUGUUGAUCAGCUAAUGGAAUUGGCUGGUUUAAGCGUAGCCACAUCUAUUGCUGAGGUUUAUAAACCAAGUGAGUAUAAUCGUAUUCUUGCUAUUUGUGGUCCGGGAAACAAUGGAGGUGAUGGGCUGGUUGCUGCUCGUCAUUUGUAUCACUUUGGGUAUAAGCUGUUUGUGUGUUAUCCUAAGCGAACUGCUAAACCCCUUUAUUCUGGUCUUGUUACUCAGCUGGAAUCUCUGUUAAUCCCUUUCCUGUCAGUGGAUGAGCUGCCUGUGGACUUGUCAAAGGACUUUGACAUUCUAGUGGAUGCUAUGUUUGGCUUUUCGUUUCACGGUUCACCAAGGCCACCUUUUGAUAAUCUGAUCCAGAAGCUGGUCCACUUACAUAGUUGUGGACAAAUGCAACAUAAGUCCCCUGUUAUUGUAUCUGUAGAUAUUCCAUCUGGAUGGCAUGUUGAAGAGGGUGAUGUUGGUGGUCAAGGCAUCAAACCUCACAUGUUGGUUUCUUUGACUGCUCCCAAACUGUGUGCCAAGAAAUUUUCUGGACCUCACCACUUUCUUGGUGGUAGAUUUGUCCCACCAACUAUUGCAGAAAAAUAUAAGCUUCAACUUCCCCAAUAUCCAGGCACAUCUAUGUGUGUCCGAAUUGGAAAGCCUCCACAAAUUGACAUAUCAGCUCUCAGAGAGAAUUAUAUAUCUCCAGAGUUCCUUGAGGAGCAGGCGGAGGCUGAUCCUAUGGAUCAGUUUUAUAAGUGGUUUGAGGAUGCGGUGGUUGCUGGCUUAAAGGAACCAAAUGCUAUGGCUUUGUCAACCACUGGAAAAGAUAGAAAACCGGAUGGAUCCACUAUGGGGCCCUUGGAGGCACCUGCUCCGAGUGGGAUCCUUGAGAAAAUUUGGGAACUAUUUAAAAAGUGCCUAAACUUUUUGAAGAAUUUUGCAUUUCCUUCUACUAAAUAUGAGAUUCGUGCUUUUAAUUUGAGCUCAUCGAGAAUGGUAUUGCUAAAAGGGGUCAACAAGGAUGGUUUUGUUUGGUAUACCAAUUAUGAAAGUCGAAAGGCACGUGAGUUAUCAGAAAAUCCGCAUGCAGCACUUCUUUUCUACUGGGAUGGGCUUAAUCGGCAGGUAAGAGUAGAAGGAUCUGUGCAGAAAGUUUCUGAUGAGGAAUCAGAGCAAUACUUUCACAGUCGCCCUCGGGGUAGUCAAAUUGCAGCAAUAGUUAGCAAGCAGAGUACUUUAGUUCCAGGACGGGAUGUACUACACCAGCAAUACAAAGAACUAGAAGAAAAAUACUCUGAUGGGAGUUUAAUUCCAAAGCCUAAACACUGGGGAGGAUACAGACUUCAACCAGAGCGUUUUGAGUUUUGGCAAGGGCAGCAGUCCCGUUUGCAUGACAGGUUGGAAUAUUCCCCUCAAGAGAUCAAUGGAAAACGAGUGUGGAGAAUUGUUCGUUUGGCCCCCUGAGUAGUAUAUUCAGUUUCUUCACUAUGAAGUUCGCCACUGUGGGAGGUUGAAGCCUAGGAGAGAGAGGAAAGGAAAUUAUUGCGAGUGCUGGGGAUGGAACCUCAACCUUGCACGAAUCCACCUCUUAAAUGAAGUGUGUGAACAAUUUGGGCUAAGCCCUAGGCUCCUCCAAUCUUCCUCUUUGAUAUUGCGUUCUUCACAAGUAGAACAUCAUUAUUAGUCUAUGAACAUAUCAUUUGACAGUUUAUCCUAUCUAACGUCUUAGGAAAUAAAGUCAUGUUGGUGAUCACUUUAUCAUCUUUUCCUUUAUCCCCUUAAGCUUGCGUAGGAUAACAGAUUUUCUAAAUUUUCAUGAGCCUGAGAUCAUAGAAUUUCUAGAUACCUGUUGGUUGUAUACAUUUGACUAGGAAUCGUACUCGUUGGCUAUCCUUUCAACACAACCACUCUUUUUGCUGGCUUUGAAGAUGUUGCGUGCAAAGGACAAGGACCUGAAUGGCUCAAUGGUCUAAACACCACAAUAAGUUUUUGUGACAGUUAUGAUGAAUUGGAGCGUCUGAGUUUGCAAUUUGUUAGUUGUCAUUGGAAAGGUCUGCAUCUGAUAAUUUUUGCUUUUCAUUUUGGUAUCUUUAGUAGGUAGGAAAAGAAUGUGAAAGAAAGAGUUAGGCAACCUUUAUAGGACGAAGCCUAUCUGCUUUAUUUCGUUUCAAAUUGGUUUGAUUAGUAAGCUUGUCCUAAAGCUUGGAAAUUUCUUUUAUGGAUGCUUCACGAUAUUAAAAUUUUGGUUUGAUUGAUUCUGACCAAAUUGGGCUCCACCAUGAAAAACAAACACCUGGGGCUCCUUUUCAUGGUUCUUUUGACCAGCUUAAGCUGAAAUCUGACACAAUAUCUUUUAUAUGAAAGGCCAAUUUGAUGCUAGGUGAC